This 253-nucleotide ribosomal RNA is filed under the name uncultured bacterium. RNAcentral's name for it is "partial 16S ribosomal RNA". It matches the Rfam family "Bacterial small subunit ribosomal RNA", at positions 524 to 776 of the family's 1533-position model. The record is from RNAcentral.
UACGUAGGGUGCAAGCGUUAAUCGGAAUUACUGGGCGUAAAGCGUGCGCAGGCGGUUGGGUAAGACAGGUGUGAAAUCCCCGGGCUUAACCUGGGAACUGCACUUGUGACUGUCCGACUGGAGUAUGUCAGAGGGGGGUGGAAUUCCAAGUGUAGCAGUGAAAUGCGUAGAUAUUUGGAAGAACACCGAUGGCGAAGGCAGCCCCCUGGGGCAAAACUGACGCUCAUGCACGAAAGCGUGGGGAGCAAACAGG